UGCCUAUAGCUUAAGUAUUAUAGGUACCUCCUGCCCAGUGAUCACGAUUCAACGGCCGCGGUACACUGACCGUGCUAAGGUAGCGCAAUUACUUGCCCUUUAAUUGAGGGCCCGUACGAAUGGACCCACGAAAGCACCCCUGUCUCAUAAUCAUUAAUAAGAAAACUAAUCUCCAGGUGAAAAAGCCUGAAUAAAAUAAAAAGACAAGAAGACCCUGUAGAGCUUCAUUCCAAAAUUAAACAAAAAUCAAUCACUCCUGAACCUCUUUGUUUAAAAAAGAAUUUUGCUGGGGCAGCAAGAAACCAACUAAAACGUCUCUAUAUACACACGACUAUCUGUCCUUUACAAGACCCUUUAAAAUGUACUACAAUACACCCCAAAAGAUCUUAAGAAAAAGCUACCUCAGGGAUAACAGACUAAUCCUUCUUAAGAGUCCACAUUAACAGAAGGGAUUGGCACCUCGAUGUUGGCUCAGGAUCCCCCCAACGUGCAGCAGCGUUGCUGGUAAGUAUGUUCUCCUUUUAAAAUCCU
Molecule: ribosomal RNA, 531 nt
Filed under: Dodecaceria concharum
Lineage: Eukaryota; Metazoa; Annelida; Polychaeta; Terebellida; Cirratulidae
Description: partial 16S ribosomal RNA
Rfam family: Bacterial large subunit ribosomal RNA
Source: RNAcentral